RNAcentral lists this ribosomal RNA (497 nucleotides) under uncultured bacterium. RNAcentral's name for it is "partial 16S ribosomal RNA". It matches the Rfam family "Bacterial small subunit ribosomal RNA", at positions 28 to 507 of the family's 1533-position model. The record is from RNAcentral.
GACGAACGCUGGCGGCGUGCCUAAUACAUGCAAGUAGAACGCUGAAGAGAGGAGCUUACUCUUCUUGGAUGAGUUGCGAACGGGUGAGUAACGCGUAGGUAACCUGCCUUGUAGCGGGGGAUAACUAUUGGAAACGAUAGCUAAUACCGCAUAACAAUGGAUGACACAUGUCAUUUAUUUGAAAGGGGCAAUUGCUCCACUACAAGAUGGACCUGCGUUGUAUUAGCUAGUAGGUGAGGUAAUGGCUCACCUAGGCGACGAUACAUAGCCGACCUGAGAGGGUGAUCGGCCACACUGGGACUGAGACACGGCCCAGACUCCUACGGGAGGCAGCAGUAGGGAAUCUUCGGCAAUGGGGGCAACCCUGACCGAGCAACGCCGCGGGAGUGAAGAAGGGUUUCGGAUCGGAAAGCUCUGUUGUAAGUCAAGAACGGGUGUGAGAGUGGAAAGUUCACACUGUGACGGUAGCUUAACAGAAAGGGACGGCUAACUACGUG